GUGCAAGUGAGUGUGAACAAACUUUGUGCAACAGAUGCCAACUAUCUACUGAUGAAUUAUUUUUAGUUUGGCAAAAAUACAAGGGAAAAGGAACGCUUUGUUGAAAAAGCGAAGACCAAAGCCCAAAACAGUGGGAAAUCUAUAACAAGAGAGAUUAUCAAUGUUCUCAAAACUUAAGAUAUCUGCUUGGGUAGCUAAUUGAGCAUAUAGUGGUAUUCAUUCACAAAAUAUUUCCUUUGGGAAUUUUCCUAAUACAUUUGGAGAUGGAAUAUUUCUUUUCACAUAUCAAGAGGAGGCUAUGAAAGAAAGACAAUCAUAAGUGAGAUUCAUUUACAUCUACAAAUAAAUUAUCUGUAACCUGAGCUAAGUAAAAGCUUAACUACAAGAUGAACCAAAGUGACUUUUCAAAAACUUUUGCAGCAAAAAAAGAAAGUGAAAGAGGAACUUAAUUUUUU
Molecule: long non-coding RNA, 455 nt
Organism: Frankliniella occidentalis (western flower thrips)
Lineage: Eukaryota; Metazoa; Arthropoda; Insecta; Thysanoptera; Thripidae
Exons: 3
Source: RefSeq, a predicted model, not a curated record